Molecule: ribosomal RNA, 521 nt
Filed under: uncultured bacterium
Lineage: Bacteria
Description: bacterial SSU rRNA
Rfam family: Bacterial small subunit ribosomal RNA
Source: RNAcentral
AGAGUUUGAUUCUGGCUCAGGAUGAACGCUAGCGACAGGCUUAACACAUGCAAGUCGAGGGCAGCAUAGAAGUAGCAAGUACUUUGGGUGGCGACUGGCGCACGGGUGAGUAACGCGUAUGCAACCUACCUAUCGAGAGGGGAAUAACCCGGCGAAAGUCGGACUAAUACCGCAUAAAACAGGGGCACCGCAUGGUGAUAUUUGUUAAAGAAAUUCGCUGAUAGAUGGGCAUGCGUUCCAUUAGGUAGUUGGUGAGGUAACGGCUCACCAAGCCGACGAUGGAUAGGGGAACUGAGAGGUUGGUCCCCCACACUGGUACUGAGACACGGACCAGACUCCUACGGGAGGCAGCAGUGAGGAAUAUUGGUCAAUGGGCGGGAGCCUGAACCAGCCAAGUCCGCGUGAAGGAAGAAGGAUCUAUGGUUCGUAAACUUCUUUUGCAGGGGAAUAAAGUGCAGGACGUGUCCUGUUUUGUAUGUACCCUGAGAAUAAGGAUCGGCUAACUCCGUGCCAGCCGCGGC